AUUGAACGCUGGCGGCAGGCCUAACACAUGCAAGUCGAACGAGUGGCGGACGGGUGAGUAAUGUCGGGGACAAUGACUGAUGGAGGGGGAUAAAUACUGGAACCCGUAGCUAAAACCGCAUACACUCGGAUGUGCCCAGAUGGGAUGAGCUAGUAGGUGGGGUAAAGGCUCACCUAGGAGACGCUCCCUAGCUUGGCUGAGAGGAUGACCAGCCACCAUGGAACUUGGUCACUGUCAAGCAUCUUACGGGAGGCAGCAGUGGGGAAGAUUGCACAAGUGGCGCAAGCCUGAAGCACCCAUGGCGCGUGUAUGAAGAAGGCCUUCGUGGUGUAAAGUACUUUCAGCUGUGAGGCGGUACCCGCAGAAGAAUUCCCGGCUAACUCCGGGCCAGCAGCCGCGGUAAUAC
This 406-nucleotide ribosomal RNA is filed under the name uncultured bacterium. RNAcentral describes it as "partial 16S ribosomal RNA". It matches the Rfam family "Bacterial small subunit ribosomal RNA", at positions 30 to 526 of the family's 1533-position model. The record is from RNAcentral.